This 74-nucleotide transfer RNA is filed under the name Bacillus subtilis. Its description in RNAcentral is "tRNA-Asn". It matches the Rfam family "tRNA". From Rfam's summary of the family: Transfer RNA (tRNA) molecules are approximately 80 nucleotides in length. Their secondary structure includes four short double-helical elements and three loops (D, anti-codon, and T loops). Further hydrogen bonds mediate the characteristic L-shaped molecular structure. tRNAs have two regions of fundamental functional importance: the anti-codon, which is responsible for specific mRNA codon recognition, and the 3' end, to which the tRNAs corresponding amino acid is attached (by aminoacyl-tRNA synthetases). tRNAs cope with the degeneracy of the genetic code in two manners: having more than one tRNA (with a specific anti-codon) for a particular amino acid; and 'wobble' base-pairing, i.e. permitting non-standard base-pairing at the 3rd anti-codon position. Lineage: Bacteria; Bacillati; Bacillota; Bacilli; Caryophanales; Bacillaceae. The record is from RNAcentral.
UCCGCAGUAGCUCAGUGGUAGAGCUAUCGGCUGUUAACCGAUCGGUCGUAGGUUCGAAUCCUACCUGCGAGCCA